GGGGGAUUAGCUCAGUUGGCUAGAGCGCUACGCUGGCAGCGUAGAGGUCGUGAGUUCGAAUCUCACAUUCUCCA
This 74-nucleotide transfer RNA is filed under the name Hyphobacterium sp. CCMP332. RNAcentral's name for it is "tRNA-Ala". It matches the Rfam family "tRNA". From Rfam's summary of the family: Transfer RNA (tRNA) molecules are approximately 80 nucleotides in length. Their secondary structure includes four short double-helical elements and three loops (D, anti-codon, and T loops). Further hydrogen bonds mediate the characteristic L-shaped molecular structure. tRNAs have two regions of fundamental functional importance: the anti-codon, which is responsible for specific mRNA codon recognition, and the 3' end, to which the tRNAs corresponding amino acid is attached (by aminoacyl-tRNA synthetases). tRNAs cope with the degeneracy of the genetic code in two manners: having more than one tRNA (with a specific anti-codon) for a particular amino acid; and 'wobble' base-pairing, i.e. permitting non-standard base-pairing at the 3rd anti-codon position. Lineage: Bacteria; Pseudomonadati; Pseudomonadota; Alphaproteobacteria; Maricaulales; Maricaulaceae. The record is from RNAcentral.